CACACCGCCCGUCACGCCAUGGAAGUUGGGAGUGCCCGAAGUCGGUGUGCCAACCCGCAAGGGGGCAGCCGCCGAAGGCGAGCCUGAUGACUGGGGCG
This 98-nucleotide ribosomal RNA is filed under the name uncultured bacterium. Its description in RNAcentral is "partial 16S ribosomal RNA". It matches the Rfam family "Bacterial small subunit ribosomal RNA", at positions 1386 to 1482 of the family's 1533-position model. The record is from RNAcentral.